CCUACGGGAUGCAGCAGUGAGGAAUAUUGGUCAAUGGGCGGGAGCCUGAACCAGCCAAGCCGCGUGAAGGAAGAAGGCGCCAGGCGUCGUAAACUUCUUUUGUCGGGGAACAAAGGGCGCCACGUGUGGCGUUGUGAGUGUACCCGAAGAAAAAGCAUCGGCUAACUCCGUGCCAGCAGCCGCGGUAAUACGGAGGAUCCGAGCGUUAUCCGGAUUUAUUGGGUUUAAAGGGAGCGUAGGCGGGUUGUUAAGUCAGUUGUGAAAGUUUGCGGCUCAACCGUAAAAUUGCAGUUGAUACUGGCAUCCUUGAGUACAGUAGAGGUAGGCGGAAUUCGUGGUGUAGCGGUGAAAUGCUUAGAUAUCAGGAGGAACACCGGUGGCGAAGGCGGCCUGCUGGACUGCAACUGACGUUGAGGCCCGAAAGCGUGGGGAGCAAACAGGAUUAGAUACCCGUGUAGUC
RNAcentral lists this ribosomal RNA (460 nucleotides) under uncultured bacterium. Its description in RNAcentral is "partial 16S ribosomal RNA". It matches the Rfam family "Bacterial small subunit ribosomal RNA", at positions 338 to 795 of the family's 1533-position model. The record is from RNAcentral.